AGAGCGUGUGUGCGUUGGACGAGGUGAUAAGGAGGGGUGUGGUGUUGGUCGGAGUUACUGGGCGUAGAGGGUAUGGAGGCGGAUCGUUGAGUCGGUGGGUAAAUCCCGAAGCGCAAACUCGGAACUGCCUUCGGUGCUGGCGAUCUUCGAGUCCGGGAGAGGUGAGUGGAACUCCGAGUGUAGAGGUGAAAGUCGUAGAUAUUCGGAAGAACACCAGUGGCGAAGGCGGCUCACUGGCCCGGUACUGACGCUGAGAUACGAAAGCGUGGGGAGCAAACAGGAUUAGAUACCCGAGUAGUC
Molecule: ribosomal RNA, 300 nt
Filed under: uncultured Halorubellus sp.
Lineage: Archaea; Methanobacteriati; Methanobacteriota; Halobacteria; Halobacteriales; Halorubellaceae
Description: bacterial SSU rRNA
Rfam family: Bacterial small subunit ribosomal RNA (bases 51-300)
Source: RNAcentral